Molecule: ribosomal RNA, 482 nt
Filed under: uncultured bacterium
Lineage: Bacteria
Description: partial 16S ribosomal RNA
Rfam family: Bacterial small subunit ribosomal RNA
Source: RNAcentral
AUUGAACGCUGGCGGCAUGCUUUACACAUGCAAGUCGAACGGUAACAGGCCGCAAGGUGCUGACGAGUGGCGAACGGGUGAGUAAUGCAUCGGAACGUGCCCAGUCGUGGGGGAUAACUACUCGAAAGAGUAGCUAAUACCGCAUACGAUCUAUGGAUGAAAGCGGGGGACCGUAAGGCCUCGCGCGAUUGGAGCGGCCGAUGUCAGAUUAGGUAGUUGGUGGGGUAAAGGCUCACCAAGCCAACGAUCUGUAGCUGGUCUGAGAGGACGACCAGCCACACUGGGACUGAGACACGGCCCAGACUCCUACGGGAGGCAGCAGUGGGGAAUUUUGGACAAUGGGCGCAAGCCUGAUCCAGCAAUGCCGCGUGCAGGAAGAAGGCCUUCGGGUUGUAAACUGCUUUUGUACGGAACGAAACGGCUCUGGUUAAUACCCGGGGCUAAUGACGGUACCGUAAGAAUAAGCAUCGGCUAACUACGUG